UACGGAGGGUGAAAGCGUUAAUCGGAAUUACUGGGCGUAAAGUGCGCGUAGGCGGUUUGAUAAGCAGGAUGUGAAAGCCCCGGGCUUAACGUGGGAAUGGCAUUCUGGACUGUCUGACUGGAGUAUGGUAGAGGGUAGUGGAAUUUCCGGUGUAGCGGUGAAAUGCGUAGAUAUCGGAAGGAACACCAGUGGCGAAGGCGACUACCUGGACCAAUACUGACGCUGAGGUGCGAAAGCGUGGGGAGCAAACAGG
RNAcentral lists this unclassified non-coding RNA (253 nucleotides) under uncultured Alteromonadales bacterium. Its description in RNAcentral is "contains 16S-23S intergenic spacer region". It matches the Rfam family "Bacterial small subunit ribosomal RNA", at positions 524 to 776 of the family's 1533-position model. The record is from RNAcentral. Lineage: Bacteria; Pseudomonadati; Pseudomonadota; Gammaproteobacteria; Alteromonadales.